CGAAGUAAUCCCCCCAAGCGCAUUUAAAGCAGCAAGGCAUGUAUGGAUUCCCAAGACAAGAAAGACUCACAUGGAAGAGCUUAUGAUGAAGACAUGUGUGUGGAUUCCCAAGGCAAAGCCCUCAGUCGGUAGUCCGGUUCAGAAAUGUUUAAGUACUGGGAAGCGGGACAGUCAUGUGGACCAGUUGGCUGCUCGCUCUUGCCCCAUAGUUGUUUCAUUAAUGGCGUCAAAUUUGAAGAUCGGUCCUAGCCUUGACGAUUUGCGCGCAGAGGAUGCUUCAGAGAAUCUCCUCUCCGUCCCUGUUGUUGGAAAUUGAACCCAUGCCCCUAACCAGGGA
Molecule: unclassified non-coding RNA, 337 nt
Filed under: Zea mays
Lineage: Eukaryota; Viridiplantae; Streptophyta; Magnoliopsida; Poales; Poaceae
Description: misc RNA Zm00001eb089750
Source: RNAcentral